CUGAAUAUGGUCGUUGCAUCGGAAUUUUAUUUCAAAUCUCUUUAUCGUAGAGCCAUUUUAUUCAUUCUCAUUUAUGCAUAUAAAAAUGCAAUCGUACAAGGGGCACGUUUAAAAAUAAACGAUCUUCGAAGUACCGACUUUGAAGGCAAUGGUUUAAAUGAUUUUGAAAUCUCUAAUUAUCAACGGAGUAAUUUAAAAAUAAAAAAUCUCCGAGCCACCAAUCAGCGUAGCACUAUAGGAUCCAAAGAAUCAAUUUUGGCCCAAACGAAAAUGACUAAAUUAAGAUCUGCGUAUUUACAAUCUACGAAAGGUAAAAACAGGAAGAAAUACAUGCUCAAAACAAAUACACCAAGCAAAUUAACAUUUCCAACGGACCCUAAAAUGGUGUCGACAUUUCAAACAAGUUCAAAGAAAAAAUUUUCUGUUAUAACGAAUUCAAAAGAAAUAUUAAAAAAUAAAAAAAA
Papilio machaon (common yellow swallowtail) is the source of this 464-nucleotide long non-coding RNA. RefSeq lists it as uncharacterized. Lineage: Eukaryota; Metazoa; Arthropoda; Insecta; Lepidoptera; Papilionidae. The record is from RefSeq and is a predicted model, not a curated record. The transcript is spliced from 3 exons.